Molecule: ribosomal RNA, 253 nt
Filed under: uncultured bacterium
Lineage: Bacteria
Description: partial 16S ribosomal RNA
Rfam family: Bacterial small subunit ribosomal RNA
Source: RNAcentral
UACGUAGGGGGCAAGCGUUGUCCGGAGUUACUGGGCGUAAAGCGCACGCAGGCGGUUGCACGCGUUUCCGGUGCCAGCCCGUUGCUUUACGACGGGAGUGCCGGGAAGACGGUGCGACUCGAGGGCCUCAGAGGGACAUAGAAUUCCGGGUGGAGUGGUGAAAUGCGUAGAUAUCCGGAGGAAUACCAAAGGCGAAGGCAGUGUCCUGGGAGGUGUCUGACGCUAAGGUGCGAAAGCCAGGGGAGCGAACGGG